CCUACGGGAGGCUGCAGUGGGGAAUAUUGGACAAUAGGGGGAACCCUGAUCCAGCCAUGCCGCGUGUGUGAAGAAGGCCCUCGGGUUGUAAAGCACUUUCAGUGAGGAAGAACGCCUGGUGGUUAAUACCCAUCAGGAAAGACAUCACUCACAGAAGAAGCACCGGCUAACUCCGUGCCAGCAGCCGCGGUAAUACGGAGGGUGCGAGCGUUAAUCGGAAUUACUGGGCGUAAAGCGCGCGUAGGUGGCUUGAUAAGCCGGUUGUGAAAGCCCCGGGCUCAACCUGGGAACGGCAUCCGGAACUGUCAAGCUAGAGUGCAGGAGAGGAAGGUAGAAUUCCCGGUGUAGCGGUGAAAUGCGUAGAGAUCGGGAGGAAUACCAGUGGCGAAGGCGGCCUUCUGGACUGACACUGACACUGAGGUGCGAAAGCGUGGGUAGCAAACAGGAUUAGAUACCCGGGUAGUC
This 465-nucleotide ribosomal RNA is filed under the name Vreelandella stevensii. Its description in RNAcentral is "partial 16S ribosomal RNA". It matches the Rfam family "Bacterial small subunit ribosomal RNA", at positions 338 to 795 of the family's 1533-position model. Lineage: Bacteria; Pseudomonadati; Pseudomonadota; Gammaproteobacteria; Oceanospirillales; Halomonadaceae. The record is from RNAcentral.